Molecule: long non-coding RNA, 38288 nt
Filed under: Zea mays
Lineage: Eukaryota; Viridiplantae; Streptophyta; Magnoliopsida; Poales; Poaceae
Description: long non-coding RNA (ZMAY_LNC003457)
Source: RNAcentral
GGACAACACAACAUUCAUGGAUCCUUUUAUAAAAAAUGAAGGCCUAUCAAAUAUUUCAUUAGGCACUUAUUAUAUAACGUGUCAAUCCAUUUCUUAACUCUGAUCUUUUAAACAACAGCGAAGUCUCACUCUAGCUAUAUAUGGAGAUGAAGAAGAUGGAGAAGGAGGAUGACACCAUCAUUGUUGGCGCCAGCAUCACUGUCAUAAUAGGGUAGUGGUAGCAAAUAGAUAUCACGGUCCAAUGCAUGCAUGUGUAAUGCAUUGCUUGGGAUCCAACCCAAUCUAGUAUAGCUAGCAUAGGUCAGCUUAAAGUAUUGUCAGCACUAAAGUUAAUUAUUUGGCGGUGUAGGCGGUGUUGGCCUUCCAGUUGGCAGGGAUGACAUCGUCGUAGACGGACUUGGUGCCUCCCUCGGUAGUGAGGCGGACGGUGAGGGGUCCCUUAAGCGGUUUGUCGCUGUCCUUCCUCCAGAUGGCGCCCCAGGAGUGCUUCAGGGGCUCGUACGUGUCGGAGCCCUUCUCCUUGACGUCCACUGCCACAAUGUCACCGUCGCCGUCGACGUACUUGACCAACAGUGCCAGGUAGUUGGGGCCGCACCCCUUUUCAAGGUGGAAGGUGACCUUGGAGUCGUACUUGCACUUAACCCUUCGGAACUGCAUGUCGAUGAUGCCCGCCUUGCGCAGCUUCUCCUCCUCGCCCUUCUUGGCCAUGGCGCCGAACGCCGUGCCUGCUAAAUCGAAGUGGUACGCCGCGAUAGGCUCAUAGUUCAUGUCCGUUAUGUGCACCACCACGGGCUUGCCGGAGCACUCCACAGGCUUAUCGCACUUGAUCUCGAAGCAGGACCCACAACCCAGACCAUCCUUGAAGAUGGGGAUGUUGCCGCAUGCGCCCAUGCUAUUGAAGGGGGGCUUGUUCACGUCCUUGUACCCGCAGCCGCCACCGUUGUCAUCGGGACCGGCACCCGUCGGCUUGCCAUACCAUGUCGCUUUAGCGUCCAGCCAGUCCUUGCCAUAGGUGGCCGUGAUGUUCUUGCCUGGGGGGACUUUGGGAGGACCGCACCAUGCGCCGCUCACCAAGAACACCAACGCCACAACCAUCGCAACCUGUGCCCGCAUCGACGACCACAUGGUUCUCACAUUCACAGCCAUGUUUUGUCUUGGAUUAGUGAAUGGUACUAUGCUACAAUGAAUGAGAGGGUAGGCCUGAAUUUAUGGUUGUGUGUGCCAACGGUUGGACGAUCGAGCUUGCAACCGUGAAGCGCGCGCAUGCAUGCACCAACGAGGAGGUAGAGUUUGCAUGGUCGAGCGAGCUUUUCUCUUGGCCACCAGUUUACUAAUUGGUUCCGUAAGUCGAAGGCGACCAUGCAUGGUAGCUCUGCAUGCAAAGCUGCUCGUAUCGUCGCGAUACUUAUGCCAUGGUGCUACUUUGGCUAAUGGUGAAGCGAGGACUCUCCUUCUUCUCGCUUUGAAAGGGAAAUAACCUCAACAUUUCCUAUAAUUGAUUUUGGUGUUUGACGUCCAUCACAAAACCAUAUGGACUAAUUAGUUUGCCUAGUGGACAUUUUUCCCACGUGCAUAAAGUUCACAUAAACAUACAAAGAAAAGGACUUGAGUGAAUUCUACAAAGUUUGGAGCAUACAAGUUCUUGUGCUACCAGUAGCGCACCGGACACUGUCCGGUGUGCAUCGGACACUGUCUGUUACCCUAGCUGAGCACCUCGCGAACUGGUCGCUCUCGGGUUUUCUCAGCGUUAGUCCGCUAAAAUUCAUCGAACUGUCCGAUGCACCACCAGACUAUCCGGUGAGACAACGGAGCAACGAUCAACUUCGCUGACUACAGGGCAGUCUGCAGCGCAGAAGUCAGAAGUCAGUCUGCAAAGUCAGAACACACCAGACUGUUCGGUGUGCCACCAGACUAUCCAGUGCCACAAGAAGACAGUAAACUUCAACGGUCAAUAGCUCCAAACCCCAAUGGUCAACAGCUCCAAACCCCAACGGUCGACUCACGUGGCACUCACCGGAUAGUAAACAAUGCAGUGUUCCGUGCACCACCGGACUGUCCGGUGUGCCCAUCUACAGCAACGACUGGAAUAGUGGUUAGGGCUAUAAAUACCCCCGACCACCACCAUUCAAGCCACCCAAGCAUUGCAACUUCCUCAUUCAAUACUAGAGCAAAAGAAUACACUCCAAACACACAAUCAAAGCAUCAACCCCUCUCCAAGCUUCAAAAUCAAGUCAAGUGAUCAAAAGUGCUUAGUGACUUGAGAGAGGGUGAUUUGUGUUUGUUUUGUUGCUCUUGUUGCUUGGUUGCAUUCUUCUUCUCAUUCUAAACUUCUCAAGUGUUUUGUAAAGCAAGCGAGAGACACCUAAUUGUGUGGUGAUCCUUGCGGGGUCUUAGUGACACGUGUGAUUAAGAAGAUGCACUUAACCGGUCUAAGUGACCGAUUGAGAGAGGAAAAGGGUUGGAAUAGACCCAGCCUUUGUGGCCUCCUCAAUGGGGAGUAGGUUUCUUGGAACCGAACCUCGAGAAACAAAUCACCGUGUUCACUUGUGUUGAUCUUUAUCACUCGAUUUGUUUCUUCCCUCUCCUCUCUUCCUAAAAGUUCCCUUGCUCACAUUGAUUUGCGUUUGAUACCAAAGUUAUCCGCAUUGAUUGAGCAACUCAAAGCAAGGAGAACUAUCUCCCGCUCUUCGAAUUUAAUAUUAUUUAUCUCUAACCCUAACCCCGUGUGAAGUGCGUGUUCAAAGUUUAUAAUUUUCAAGUUUCGCCUAUUCACCCUCUCUAGGCGAUUUUCAUGCUUCCUAUGGAAGAAUGUCAUUGUUGCCACAUAUUUUUAAGUCAUUAUAUUGGAGCAAAGUGGCGUAACCAUGUCAACCUCUAUUAUUCGUGGAAACGAUCCUUCAGGGAUUGUCGCAAGUUAAUUGGUAUAUCAAAUGUGCGAAUGUAGGAUUUAAACAUAGCGUAAUCUUCAAGACUCCACAUCUAAAUGAACAACUAGAAAGAUGACUUGUCUAGACAAUUAUAGGGAAUUGAACCAUAAACAUUCGAGGUACUCCAAUUAUACAAAAAAUGUAAUUAUGAGAUUCGUGUUGGACAAACUAGGUCAAAUUUAACCAAAUUUAUAUUCAGUAUUCUUAAUAUUUAUAUCAAAUAUAUUAUACUAGAACUUUUAAUACAUAGUGAAAUGAACUGCGAGCUUUCCAAAGAACCCCAACAUUCUUCUUUGCUAAAAAGACUAUUUUGUAUGCGCAUGCAUAGGCAACUAAUUCUUCUAACUAGUUGUUAUAACAUUUUCUUUUAUAUAUACUAGUCAGUUGUCAGUAUGUUACUAUGUGUCGGCGUUUUGAGACCGGGGGGUCCCUAAGCCGACGAGUGAAUGUCGCUGCGUGCCCCAGCCCAGAUGGGUCGAGCGCGUGGGCGAGCGCGAUGGGGGGAAGCGAGGUGGCCGGAGAUGGGCGUGAGAGAGGUGGAAAUCCCGCGGCCUUCGUGUUCGUCCCGCGCCCAGGUCGGGUGCGCUUGCAGUAGGGGGUUACAAGCGUCCACGCGGGUGAGGGAAGCGAGCGGCCCCAAGAGAGCGCCUGUCCCGUCCUCGUCCCCGCGCGGCCAACCCUCUCUAAGAGGGCCCUGGUCCUUCCUUUUAUAGGCGUAAGGAGAGGAGCCAGGUGUACAAUGGGGGUGUAGCAGAGUGCUACGUGUCUAGCGGGGGAGAGCUAGCGCCCUAAGUACAUGCCGAUGUGGCAGCCGGAGAGAUCUUGGCACCCAGCUGGUGUGAUGUCGUGGCCGUCGGAGGAGCGACGGAGCCUGGCGGAGGGACAACUGUCGGAGCGGUUGAGUCCUUGCUGACGUCCUCCUGCUUCCGUAAGAGAGCUGAGAGCCGCCGUCGUCAUAGAGCAUGCGGGGCGCCAUCAUUGCCUAUCUGGCGGAGCUAGCCAGAUGGGACGCCGGUCUUGUUCUCUGCGGCCCGAGUCAGCUCGGGGUAGGGUGAUGAUGGCGCUUCCUGUUGACGUGGCUGGCCUGCGCCCUAGGUUGGGCGACGUGGAGGCUCCUCCGAAGCCGAGGUCGAGUCUGUCUUCUGUGGCCGAGGCCGAGUCCGAGCCCCUGGGUCGGGCGAGGCGGAGGUUGUUCGGCAGAGGCCAGGGCGGAGUCCGAGCCCUGGGGUCGGGCGGAGCGGAGUUCGUCGUCUUCUGGGGCUGAGCCCGAGUCCGAGCCCUGGGGUCGGGCGGAGCGGAGUUCGUCGUCUUCUGGGGCUGAGCCCGAGUCCGAGCCCUGGGGUCGGGCGGAGCGGAGUUCGCUGUCUUCCGGGACUUAGCCCGAGUCUGAGCCCUGGGGUCGGGCGGAGCGGAGUUCGCCGUCUUCCGGGACUUAGCCCGAGUCCGAGCCCUGGGUCGGGCGGAGCGGAGUUCGCCGUCUUCCGGGACUUAGCCCGAGUCCGAGCCCUGGGUCGGGCGGAGCGGAGUUCACCGUCUUCCGGGACUUAGCCCGAGUCCGAGCCCUGGGGUCGGGCGGAGCUUCCUAUGGUGCCUUUGGCAGGGCCUGACUGCCCGUCAGUCUCACUCUGUCGAGUGGCACUGCAGUUGGAGUGGCGCAGGCGGCGCUGUCCUUCUGCCAGGCCGGUCAGUGGAGCGGCGAAGUGACGGCGGUCACUUCGGCUCUGCCGGGGGGCGUGUGUCAGGAUAAAGGUGUCAGGCCACCUUUGCGUUAAAUGCUCCUGCGAUUCGGUCGGUCGAUGCGGCGAUUUAGUCAGGGUUGCUUCUUAGCGAAGGAAGGGCCUCGGGCGAGCCGGAGAUGUGUCCGCCGUUGGAGGGGGGCCUCGGGCGAGACGGAAAUCCUCUGGGGUCGGCUGCCCUUGUCCGAGGCUAGGCUCGGGCGAGGCAUGAUCGAGUCGCUCGAAUGGACUGAUCCCUGACUUAAUCGCACCCAUCAGGCCUUUGCAGCUUUAUGCUGAUGGGGGUUACCAGCUGAGAAUUAGGCGUCUUGAGGGUACCCCUAAUUAUGGUCCCCGACAGUAGCCCCCGAGCCUCGAAGGGAGUGUUAGCACUCGCUUGGAGGCUUUCGUCGCACUUUUUUGCAAGGGGACCAGCCUUUCUCGGUUGCAUUUUGUUCCGGUGGGUGCGCGCGAGCGCACCCGCCGGGUGUAGCCCCCGAGGCCUCGGAGGAGUGGUUUCACUCCUCCGAGGUCUUAAUGCCUUGCGUAAUGCUUCGGCUGGUCUGGUUGUUCCCUCAUGCGAACUGGCCGUAGCCCGGGUGCACGGUCGGGACCCAAGUUCUCGGGCUGGUAUGUUGACGCUGUCAACGGUUCGGCCGGAGCCGGGUUUGCGAGAGCAGCCCCCGAGCCUCCGCACAGGGCGAGAGGACGAUCAGGGACAGACUCGGCUUUUUUACAUACGCCCCUGCAUCGCCUUUCCGCAAGGAGGAGGGGGGAAAGCGCCAUGUUACCCUCGAUGGGCGCCGAACAUGGUGUCUCCGGUGAGCUGCAAGCGGGUAAUCCGAGUGGACGUCCGUGCCCCGUUCGUUAGGGGUCGGCUAGGGGCCCAGAGGCACGCCCAAAAGUACCUACGGGUGAUCUGCCGGACCCGGUCCCCUGGCGACGGGGUCCGAUGGCUCGAUGCCUCCCUCUGAUGGGAUUCCGUUACAAGAUCGCUCCCGCUGGUCUCGGAAAUGUCCUAGGGUACCUUGGGAGCGCAGCCCGAGCCUUGAUUAUGUAUCGAACGUACCCCUGGUCAUCCCUCGCUCGGCGUCUGAGGCGACUAUGAACCCUUCGGGGGCCAGCCUUCGAACCCCUGAUCAGUAAUGGGUGCGGAGCCCGAGUAGCCUGAGGCGGCCGUGGAACUAACCCUUCGGGGGGCUGGCCUUCGAACCUCUGACCAGUAGUGGGUGUAGGGCCCACGCGAUCUGAGGCGGCUGUUGAACCCCUCGGGGGGCCAGCCUUCGAACCUCUGAUCAGUAGGGGGGCUCGGAGCCCGGUUCCUUCACGGGGAAGGAUCCUUUUCGGGGUAUCCCCCUUUCCCGGUCCCUGUUGCAAGAGAUAGAGAAAGAGGAAAAAAGGAAAAGGAUACGAAAUCGAACGAUGUGGCGUACCUUUUUUGGCGCGGUUAUUACGGCGAAGGCGAAGCGUUGCCCGCUUCUCCUGCCAGAAGCGCCGCCUGUCCCGCCGCGGAGUUAAUGCGACAGGGCGAGUGGUUGGCGGGGCGGUCGUCGCGCGUGCGCGAGCCGUUCGAGGAACGGAUCACGGGCGCGUUGUCUUCACGUCGUGAGAGGGGGUUCUCUUGCUGCCCCUGGAUGGGACGUGAGCUUGGCUGACGACGUGACCGCUGCUCCCGCCCGCCUGCCACCGUCAUUACUGCCGGCCCACUUUCGGCCACAUUGACCGUCGCGCCAGGCUGGCGCUGCUGGGUCGUGCGCUGGGUCGCCUCGAGUCGCGGUAUUGGUUCCGCAACCGAAGAGGCGCGGUGGUGGCGCAAGUGGCGGUGCAGUUGCUUGCAUGCAGCAUCCGGCGCGCCGGUUGCGUGACGCGUGGGCCUGGGCCUCCAGGCUGGGCGCGUUGGGAGUCGCAGAAGCGCGCCCACUUGGCGCGGUUGCAUGCCGCCUGCAUGGCUGCCCGCCUCUCUCGCCCGUUGGUCUGGGCAAAAGUGGAGGGUCACUUGUAACCGCUGGGCGGUUGAGUGCACCGCGCGCGGCGGUUUGGCUUCUUCUGCUCCGAGCCGGUUUGCAUGACAUGCGGGACCCAGCCCCCGCGCCGCAGGGGAGGGCCUUGGAGCGUGUUGGAGAAGACUCAGUCCGUGACGAUUGGGGGCGCAAGUAGGGAGAGUUGCCUUUAAAAGGAGGGCGACCCCUUUCGGAAGGCGAGCAUGUCUUCUCGCUUCCUUAUGCAUCGCGUCUCUCCACCUUCCAAGCCCCCGGAUGGGGGAUAACCGCCGUCUUUUCGCCUCAUCGUUGGAGGAACACAACUCCGUGGGAGUUGGUACCUUUCAGCCAUCGUUCGGCUUCAAGGAUUUUCAUCGGCCAGCCCGGCUAUACCCCCCCGCCGGCGGUCACCCAAGACGGUGACCACCAGUUCCUGGGUGGGGAGAAGCAAGCCGGGCUGCGAUCUUGGUCCCACCCUCAGCUUCAAGGAUGUUCAUCAUCCUCGCUGGGGUGGGGGCCGGGCUGAGCCGGCGCUCUACCUCCCGCGCGGGUUCGUGGGUCACCCUCUCCCGCGGCGUUCGAGGGAGAGGGCGCUCACUGGCCCUGCGGGUGGCCCGGACUUCGACAACGCGGGGCUGGUCGACGGCGGGCGUCGUCACCUCCAGCGUGUCGGGCUCGUCGGCUUGGCUCCCGGCGGCCCCUCCUGCCGGAGGGCGGCUCCCGCGCCGUGUGCACGGGAGGACCACCCAAGAUGCCGCGCGCUGCUAGGGCGGCGUUCGUGUUCUGGGGUGGCCCUGCCUUUGCACCGGGAUGGCACCUUCACGCAGAGGCCGAUGCCCCACUCGUCCGGGAGGAUUUGAGUGGGGAUCUGCCGGAGGGCUGAUGGCCCCUGCCAUCGGUGCCGAGGUGACGGCGGUUCGAGAAGUCCCCGUCGCCGACGGGAUCACCGCCACCAUCCGCGCUUCGGGCCUCCAGCUCUUUGUACUUGUCCUCGCCCCUCGAGCGUCGGCGUGGGCGAGGGCAAGAUUGCAGCAGCGCCCACCCUGAGGCCUGCGCUGCUGCAGUUCGACCACCCGGAGCGGGGGUCGUUGUCGUCGUAGUCAGAGCGGGCGGCAGCGAGCCGCUCGUCAGUCUUCUGUUGCUCCGCAGGCCCUCUCCCAUGGAGUGGGGUUGUUCGUACCUGCGGAGGGGGAACCGGAGUUCCGUUUGUAAUGGCACUUCGAAUGCCAGUGUUUUUGUUCAUUAUGGCUGUCGAGGCCUGAACAUGUAUGUAAUUUUGGCACGGAGCCGUGUUUUUUCCUCAUUCUCGAGCACUAAGACUCGCCUGUUGAUUAUCUGAACCGCUUCACCAAGCAUGAGUCGCCCCGUGUCAAGGUGACGAGUGAGGUAUCCGUAUCCCGGAGGCGUAGGAGUCCCUCGGCUCGGUCGGCCUUGCUGUCUGAGGCUCCUCUAGCUUAGUUAAAGGGACCCCUUGGCCGCUCUUCGACGAGCCGAGGCCAGGGGUAGCGAUAUCAGCGUGAACAGAGGCGGAGUUGGCUCGAAAAUGAAACCUGGUCGGCCGGAGCCUAGCCGGGUUGUCCGUUAGUGGGGCCGACGUCGGAGUUGAUCAGCCGAGGCCUCGGGUCGGGCUGGCGCCCUUGGAAGAUGGUCGGCCGAGGCCUCAGAGGUGACCGGCCGAGCCACCUGCUCGGGCCGGAUUCCCGGAGAAGACCCUGGCGGCGAUGGCCCGGGCGUGGUGAUGACGUCGUCCUUCGGAGUGGAGGUCUUCGGACCGCGUCGCCGUCCGAGGCUAGGUCGAACCUCGCCGAAGUUGUCGUCGAUGCCGAGGGUGCUGCUGCCCCCUUCCAGCGUCAAGACCCGAGCCUGCAGGAUCAGAUAGUCUUGUAGCGUGUGCCUUCUGCGGCCGCCGAGGCCAGAACACACACCCUUGCUGCGUUGUAAAGUUGCGUCUCUUUUCCUCUUGUUUCGAGUAUCUGGACUUUUUUGUCGGUAACAGGGAUGUUUGUGCGAGCGAGAGUUGCUUCUCGCGGAAGGUGAUGAGUGAGGUAUCCGUAUCCCGGAGGCGUGGGAGUCCCUCGGCUCGGUCGACCUUGCCGCUUACGCGUACUUUCACCCGUCCAUGAGGCCCUGUCACCGACUCAGUCGAGAAGGCUCGAAGGAUCGCUUCGGCAGAAGAGCUUCCGAAUGUGAAGACUUGUUCGGUCCGCGGAAUCACUUUAUCCGAAUGCGAGUUACUUAUCGCAGAAGGUGAUGAGUGAGGUAUCCGUAUCCCGGAGGCGUAGGAGUCCCUCGGCUCGGUCAGCCUUGGCUGCUUACGUGUACUCCGUCGUUUUCAGGAUCCACUUUUCGAAGUAGUCAGAAAGCAUGAAAGACAUUCUGGCGGAAGAGAUCUUUUUUCGAGGAAAAUUUCAACGCAGAGGGGGUUCCCCCCCUUUUAGCCCCCGAGGGAGGGUCGGGCUUUGCCGAGGCGAGGCCGACCCUUCCUGGAUGACUAAACUUUGCGUGGGUGCGAGGUAUAUGAACAAUUUGAAAAUAUCUUAAGGGUAGAAGCGACGUAGCUGUUGGAUGUUCCAAGCGUUGCUGUAGACCUCGCCUUGACUGUUGGCCAGCUUGUACGUUCCGGGCUUCAGAACUUUGGCGAUGACGAAUGGCCCCUCCCAGGGGGGCGUGAGCUUGUGCCUCCCUCGGUCGUCUUGCCGCAGCCGAAGCACCAGGUCGCCCACCUGGAGGUCUCGGGGCCGGACCCCUCGGGCGUGGUAGCGUCGCAGGGACUGCUGGUACCGCGCCGAGUGUAGUAAGGCCUUGUCCUGAGCCUCUUCCAGCUGGUCCAGCGAGUCUUCUCGACUAACUUGGUUGCUUUGAUCGCUGUAGGCCCUCGUCCUCGGGGAGCCGUAUUCCAGGUCAGUGGGCAAGACGGCCUCGGCCCCAUAGACCAGGAAGAACGGCGUGAAACCCGUGGCUCGGCUCGGCGUUGUCCUCAGGCUCCAGACCACCGAGGGGAGUUCCUUCAUCCAUCGCUUGCCGAACUUGUCGAGGUCGUUGUAAAUCCGAGGCUUGAGCCCUUGUAGAAUCAUGCCGUUGGCACGCUCUACUUGCCCGUUCAUCAUGGGAUGAGCCACGGCGGCCCAGUCCACCCGGAUGUGGUGAUCUUUGCAGAAGUCCAAGAACUUUCUGCCGGUGAACUGGGUACCGUUGUCGGUGAUGAUGGAGUUCGGGACCCCGAAGCGAUGGAUGAUGUUGGUGAAGAACGUCACCGCCUGCUCGGACCUGAUGCUGUUCAGAGGUCGGACCUCGACCCACUUGGAGAAUUUGUCGAUGGCGACCAGCAGGUGCGUGUAGCCCCGGGCGCCUUCUGCAAGGGGCCGACGAGGUCCAGACCCCACACAGCAAAGAGCCAGGUGAUGGGUAUCGUCUGUAGAGCCUGAGCGGGCAGAUGGGUCUGCUUCGUAUAGAAUUGACACCCUUCGCAGGUGCGGACAAUUCUAGUGGCGUCAGCCACCGCCGUUGGCCAGUAGAAGCCUUGCCGGAAAGCAUUCCCGACAAGGGCUCGAGGCGCUGCGUGAUGGCCGCAAGCCCCCGAGUGUAUCUCUUGCAGGAGUUCCUGACCUUCGGCGAUGGAGAUGCAUCGCUGGAGGAUGCCCGAGGGGCUGCGGUGGUAGAGCUCCUUCUCAUCGCCCAGCAAGACGAACGACUUGGCGCGUCGCGCUACUCGCCGAGCCUCGGCUCGGUCGAGGGGUAGCUCUCCUUGGCGGAGAUAUUGCAGGUACGGGGUCUGCCAAUUCCGAUCAGGCGUGGCCCCGCUCCGCUCCUCCUCGACGUGCAGUGCCUCGCCCUUGGAGGCCGAGGGUACCUCGGGCUGAACCGAGGGUGCCUCGGGCCGUGCCGAGGGUACCUCGGGCUGGACCGAGGGCGCCUCAGGCUCGGGCGAGUCGUCGAUCUUGACGGAGGGUUGAUGCAGAUCCCGGGAGAAGACGUCCGGGGGAACCGUCGUUCGCCCCGAGGCUAUUUUUGCCAGCUCGUCCGCCGUCUCGUUGUAACGCCGAGCGAUGUGGUUAAGCUCGAGCCCGUAGAACUUAUCUUCCAGGCGCCGAACCUCAUCGCAGUAGGCCUCCAUCUUCGGGUCGCGGCAGUGGGAGUUCUUCAUGACUUGGUCGAUGACAAGCCGCGAGUCGCCGCGGGUGUCGAGGCGCCUGACCCCUAGCUCGAUGGCGAUCCGCAACCCGUUGACCAGAGCCUCGUACUCAGCCACAUUGUUGGACGCCGGGAAAUGGAGGCGUAGCACAUAGCGUAGGUGUUUCCCGAGGGGCGAGAUGAAGAGUAGGCCCGCGCCGGCUCCCGUCUUCAUCAGCGAUCCGUUGAAAAACAUGGUCCAGAGCUCCGGUUGGAUCGGAGCCGUCGGUAGCUGGGUGUCGACCCAUUCGGCUACGAAGUCCGCCAAUACCUGGGACUUGAUGGCCUUCCGAGGGGCGAACGAGAUUGUCUCGCCCAUGAUUUCCACCGCCCACUUUGCAAUCCUGCCCGAGGCCUCUCGGCACUGGAUGAUCUCCCCCAGGGGGAAGGAUGACACCACAGUUACCGGAUGAGACUCGAAGUAGUGUCGCAACUUCCGCCUCGUCAGGAUCACUGCAUACAACAGCUUCUGGACUUGUGGGUAGCGGAUCUUGGUCUCGGACAGCACCUCGCUGACGAAGUAAACUGGCCUCUGAACGGGCAAUGCAUGCCCCUCUUCUUGCCUCUCGACCACAAUCACGGCGCUAACCACCUGAGUGGUCGCGGCGACGUAGACCAAGAGGGCUUCUCCGUCAGUUGGAGGCACCAAGAUAGGCGCCUUUGUGAGGAGCGCCUUCAGGUUCCCGAGAGCUUCCUCGGCCUCAGGGGUCCAAGCGAAGCACUCGCCUUCCUUAAGAGGCGGUACAGAGGCAGGCCUCUUUCGCCGAGGCGUGAGAUGAAGCGGCUCAGGGCCGCGAGACAUCCCAUGACCCUCUGUACGCCUUUUAAGUCCUUGAUGGGCCCCAUGCUGGUGAUGGCUGCGAUCUUCUCCGGGUUGGCUUCGAUGCCCCGCUCGGAGACGAUGAACCCCAAGAGCAUGCCCUGGGGCACCCCGAAGACACACUUCUCGGGAUUGAGCUUGACGCCUUUCGCUUUGAGACAUCGGAAUGUCACUUCAAGGUCGGAGAGGAGGUCGGAAGCCUUCCUCGUCUUGACUACGAUGUCAUCGACGUAGGCCUCGACCGUGCGACCGAUGUGUUCGCCGAACACAUGGUUCAUGCACCGCUGAUACGUCGCGCCCGCAUUCCUCAAACCGAACGGCAUGGUGACGUAGCAGUACAUGCCGAAGGGCGUGAUGAAAGAAGUCGCGAGCUGGUCGGACUCUUUCAUCCUGAUUUGGUGAUACCCUGAGUAGGCGUCGAGGAAAGACAGGGUUUCGCACCCAGCAGUGGAAUCCAUGAUUUGAUCGAUGCGAGGCAGAGGGUAGGGAACCUUCGGACAUGCUUUGUUGAGACCAGUGUAGUCUACACACAUCCGCCAUUUCCCCCCUUUCUUUCUCACAAGCACAGGGUUGGCAAGCCAUUCGGGAUGGAAUACCUCUUUGAUGAACCCUGUUUCCAUCAGCUUGUGGAUCUCCUCGCCUAUCACUCUGCGCUUCUCCUCGUCGAAUCGGCGCAGAGGCUGCUUGACGGGUCGGGCUCCGGCCCGAAUAUCCAGCGAGUGCUCGGCGACAUCCCUCGGUAUGCCGGGCAUGUCUGAGGGACUCCGUGCAAAGACGUCGGCGUUUGCGCGGAGAAAGUCGACGAGCACUGCUUCCUAUUUGGGGUCGAGCCCGGAACCGAUCCGGAUCUGCUUGGAGGUGUCGCCACUGGGGUCGAGAGGGACGGCCUUGACCGUCUCCACUGGCUCGAAGUUGCCAGCAUGGCGCUUCACGUCGGGUACCUCUUUUGAGAGGCUUUCCAGGUCGGCGAUGAGGGCCUCGGACUCGGCGAGGGCCUCGGCGUACUCCACGCACUCCACGUCGCAUUCGAACGCAUGUUUGUACGUGGGGCCGACGGUGAUGACCCCGUAGGGGCCCGGCAUCUUGAGCUUCAGGUAGGUGUAGUUGGGGACGGCCAUGAACUUCGCGUAGCUUGGCCUCCCCAGUACCGCGUGGUAGGUUCCUCGGAACCCGACCACCUCGAACGUCAGAGUCUCCCUUCGGAAGUUGGAGGGCGUUCCGAAGCAGACGGGGAGGUCGAGUCGUCCGAGGGGCUGGACGCGCUUCCCGGGAAUGAUCCCGUGGAAGGGCGCAGCGCCUGCUCGGAUGGAGGAUAGAUCGACGCGCAGGAGCCCGAGGGUCUCGGCGUAGAUGAUGUUGAGGCAGCUGCCCCCGUCCACAAGGACCUUGGUGAGCCUGACGUCGCCGACAAUGGGGUCGACGACGAGCGGGUAUUUCCCCGGGCUCGGCACGUGGUCGAGGUGGUCAGCUUGGUCGAAGGUGAUGGGCUUGUCGGACCAGUCUAGGUAGACUGGCGCCGCCACCUUCACCGAGUAGACCUCCCGGCGCUCUUGCUUGCGAUGCCGAGCCGAGGCAUUCGCCGCAUGCCCACCGUAGAUCAUGAAGCAGUCGCGGACCUCAGGGAAUUCUCCUGCUUGGUGAUCUUCCUUCUUGUCGUCGUCGCGGGCCCUGCCACCCUCCGCGGGUGGCCCGGCCCUGUGGAAGUGGCGCCGAAGCAUGACGCACUCCUCAAGGGUGUGCUUGACGGGCCCCUGAUGAUAGGGGCACGGCUCCUUGAGCAUCUUGUCGAAGAGGUUGGCACCUCCGGGGGGCUUCCGAGGGUUCUUGUACUCGGCGGCGGCGACAAGGUCCGCGUCGGCGGCGUCGCGUUUCGCUUGCGACUUCUUCUUGCCUUUCUUCUUGGCGCCGCGCGGAGUAGACGCCUCGGGAGCAUCUUCCGAUGGGUGGCCCUGGGGCUGCUUGUCCUUUCGGAAGAUAGCCUCGACCGCCUCGUGGCCAGAGGCGAACUUGGUGGCGAUGUCCAUCAGCUCGCUCGCCCUGGUGGGGGUCUUACGACCCAACUUACUCACCAGGUCGCGGCAGGUGGUGCCGGCAAGGAACGCGCCGAUGACAUCCGAGUCGGUGAUGUUGGGCAGCUCGGUGCGCUGCUUCGAGAAUCGCCGGAUGUAGUCCCGGAGAGACUCUCCCGGCUGAUGCCGGCAGCUUCGGAGGUCCCAGGAAUUCCCGGGGCGCACGUACGUGCCCUGGAAAAUGCCGGCGAAGGCUUGGACCAGGUCAUCCCAGUUGGAGAUCUGCCCCGGAGGCAGGUGCUCCAACCAGGCGCGAGCGGUGUCGGAGAGGAACAGGGGGAGGUUGCGGAUGAUGAGGUUGUCGUCGUCCGUUCCACCCAGUUGGCAGGCCAGGCGGUAGUCCGCGAGCCACAGUUCCGGUCUCGUUUCCCCCCGAGUACUUUGUGAUAGUAGUCGGGGGUCGGAACCGGGUCGGGAACGGCGCCCGUCGGAUGGCCCGGCUGAAGGCCUGCGGACCGGGUGGUUCGGGCGAGGGACUCCGAUCCUCCCCGCUGUCGUAGCGUCCCCCACGCCUGGGGUGGUAACCUCGGCGCACCCUCUCGUCGAGGUGGGCCCGACGGUCGUGAUGACGGUGCUCGUUGCCGAGGUUACCCGGGGCUGCAGGCGCGGUGUUGCGCGUGCGCCCGGUGUAGACCGAGGCUUCCCGCAUGAAUCGGGAAGUCGCGGCAUGAGGUCCCGAGGGGUAUCCCUGCCUUCGGGAGGCAGAGCUCUCGGCCCGUCGGACCGCAGCACCUUCCAGGAGAUUCUUGAGCUCUCCCUGGAUUCGCCGACCCUCGGUGGUUGAUGGCUCCGGCAUCGCGCGGAGAAGCAUCGCUGCUGCAGCCAGGUUCUGACCGACCCCACUGGAUGCAGGUGGCGGCCUCACCCUGACGUCGUUGGCGACGCGGUGCUGGAGACCCUGGGGCAGGUGACGUAUUUCUCCGGCCGGGGGUUGGCCCGCCCACGCCAGCCCGACGUCCCGGUGGAUCGGCUCAAGCGCUCCUGCUCCCUCGUCGAGCCUGGCCUGCGCCCCGCGGACUUGCUCGAGCUGUGGGUCGUGACCCCCCGCCGGAACGGGGACCACAGCUAGCUCCCGCGGGAUGUCAGCGCGAGGCACCGGCCUAGGGAGAUCACCGUCCUCCGGCAUGCCGAGAUGGUUGCCUUCGGAGGGAUCCCCUAGCUCGACGUGGAAACAUUCGCGGCUUGGGCCGCAGUCCUCGUCGUCGAGGCUGUGGCUACCGUCGGCGUCGGAACAGUCAGAGAGGCAGUAGUCACAUGCGGUCAUGAAGUCCCGCAUGGCACUUGGGUUGCCAAAUCCAGAGAAAUCCCAACAGAUGUUGGGGUCGUCAUCUUCCUCGGACCCAGAGGGCCCAUAGGUCGAGACGUCCGUCAGCCGGUCCCAAGGCGACCGCAUGCGAAACCCCAGAGGGUUUGAUCUCGCCUCUACAAGAGCGCCCGCCAAAGCAAGGUCGCUAGGCGGGUUGAGGCUGAGUCGAAAUGACGUAGGAUGGGAAUCGGUUGGUACCUUUUGGUCGACGAGCGACGACAUAGUCACGUCGGGGACUGAUCGCACCGCCGUCUCAGGUACGAGGGCGACGUCCUGCAAGCUCUCCGCGAGCGCACUGGCGUCGUCCGUUUGCUCGGGAUUGGCGUGUCGCGGGGAGAUGGUGCUCGCCUUCGUCUCAAACGCGAGGUCGACGCCCGGCGCGCCCCCCGUUGGAGCGCUGGGGACGUCGACUCGCUCGACAGCCAACGAGGCGCAGCCUCCCGCUUGGCCUUGGUUGCCCCGCCUCCUCCUCCGUCGGCGGGGGAGAGGACGGUGCGAGCUCGAAUGUUGUUCUUCCACUACGUGGGGAAGACGUCGUCGAUCCCGCCGCCGGCGGGCGGGCUGUCGGCCGCCAUUGUCGUUGUCGCGCGGCAGUGGAAGGAGUAUCAUGUCGUAGCUGCCGUCGAAGGACAUGAACUCAAGACUCCCAAAACGGAGCACCGUUCCGGGUUGGAGAGGUUGCUGGAGCCUGCCCAUCUGGAGCUUGACGAGAAGUUGUUCGUCAACACGCAGCAGGCCCCUACCUGGCACGCCAACUGUCGGCGUUUCGAGACCGAGGGGUCCCUAAGCCGACGAGUGAAUGUCACUGCGUGCCCCAGCCCAGAUGGGUUGAGCGCGUGGGCGAGCGCGAAGGGGGGAAGCGAGGUGGCCGGAGAUGGGCAUGAGAGAGGUGGAAAUCCCGCGGCCUUCGUGUUCGUCCCGCGCCCAGGUCGGGUGCGCUUGCAGUAGGGGGUUACAAGCGUCCACGCGGGUGAGGGAAGCGAGCGACCCCAAGAGAGCGCCUGUCCCGUCCUCGUCCCUGCGCGGCCAACCCUCUCUAAGAGGGCCCUGGUCCUUCCUUUUAUAGGCGUAAGGAGAGGAGCCAGGUGUACAAUGGGGGUGUAGCAGAGUGCUACGUGUCUAGCGGGGGAGAGCUAGCGCCCUAAGUACAUGCCGAUGUGGCAGCCAGAGAGAUCUUGGCACCCAGCUGGUGUGAUGUCAUGGCCGUCGGAGGAGCGACGGAGCCUGGCGGAGGGACAGCUGUCGAAGCGGUUGAGUCCUUGCUGACGUCCUCCUUCUUCCGUAAGAGAGCUGAGAGCCGCCGUCGUCACAGAGCAUGCGGGGCACCAUCAUUGCCUAUCUGGCGGAGCUAGCCAGAUGGGACGCCGGUCUUGUUCUCUGCGGCCCGAGUCAGCUCGGGGUAGGGUGAUGAUGGCGCUUCCUGUUGACGUGGCUGGCCUGCGCCCUAGGUUGGGCGACGUGGAGGCUCCUCCGAAGCCGAGGUCGAGUCUGUCUUCCGUGGCCGAGGCCGAGUCCGAGCCCCUGGGUCGGGCGAGGCGGAGGUCGUUCGACAGAGGCCAGGGCAGAGUCCGAGCCCUGGGGUCGGGCGAAGCGGAGUUCGUCGUCUUCUGGGGCUGAGCCCGAGUCCGAGCCCUGGGGUCGGGCGAAGCGGAGUUCGUCGUCUUCUGGGGCUGAGCCCGAGUCCGAGCCCUGGGGUCGGGCGGAGCGGAGUUCGCCGUCUUCCGGGACUUAGCCCGAGUCCGAGCCCUGGGGUCGGGCGGAGCGGAGUUCGCCGUCUUCCGGGACUUAGCCCGAGUCCGAGCCCUGGGGUCGGGCGGAGCGGAGUUCGCCGUCUUCCGGGACUUAGCCCGAGUCCGAGCCCUGGGUCGGGCGGAGCGGAGUUCGCCGUCUUCCGGGACUUAGCCCGAGUCCGAGCCCUGGGUCGGGCGGAGCGGAGUUCGCCGUCUUCCGGGACUUAGCCCGAGUCCGAGCCCUGGGGUCGGGCGGAGCUUCCUAUGGUGCCUUUGGCAGGGCCUGACUGCCCGUUAGUCUCACUCUGUCGAGUGGCACUGCAGUCGUAGUGGCGCAGGCGGCGCUGUCCUUCUGCCAGGCCGGUCAGUGGAGCGGCGAAGUGACGGCGGUCACUUCGGCUCUGCCGGGGGGCGUGUGUCAGGAUAAAGGUGUCAGGCCACCUUUGCGUUAAAUGCUCCUGCGAUUCGGUCGGUCGGUGCGGCGAUUUAGUCAGGGUUGCUUCUUAGCGAAGGCAGGGCCUCGGGCGAGCCGGAGAUGUGUCCGCCGUUGGAGGGGGGCCUCGGGCGAGACGGAAAUCCUUCGGGGUCGGCUGCCCUUGUCCGAGGCUAGGCUCGGGCGAGGCAUGAUCGAGUCGCUCGAAUGGACUGAUCCCUGACUUAAUCGCACCCAUCAGGCCUUUGCAGCUUUAUGCUGAUGGGAGUUACCAGCUGAGAAUUAGGCGUCUUGAGGGUACCCCUAAUUAUGGUCCCCGACACUAUGGUUUUCAUAUUCACAAUAUUUAUAAUAUACAUUCUUUCUAGAACAUGAAUAAAUAUGUGUUUCAGUGGUUAGACGCUAAGCAUAGGAGGAAUGGUUCUAACCCUAGGUUCUACAUUUUUUGGAUUUUUUCAUGGGAGAACUUAACGCAUAAAGGGCGACAUCUUAAUUAAUGUUGGAAAUUGUACAAGUAAUGCAUGCAAACGGUGAAGACAGAAGUUUUAUCUCAUGAGUAGAAAGCUCAUGUUAUGUAGCACAAAUGAACACCUUAGCGUCGACCUUCAAAGAACGACCAACACACGUUAAGGAUGGCCCUACAUCUAGAAUCAGCAUGUACUAUCAUAUAUUUCAAUUAGUCAUAAAAAAUAUGUAUUCUAUUAAAAUGUAGCCAUGCAUGAUAAAGUUAGGAUUACGUAGGAGAUACAUGGACAACACAACAUUCAUGGAUCCUUUUAUAAAAAAUGAAGGCCUAUCAAAUAUUUCAUUAGGCACUUAUUAUAUAACUUGUCAAUCCAUUUCUUAACUCUUCUCUUUUAAACAACAGCGAAGUCUCACUCUAGCUAUAUAUGGAGAUGAAGAAGAUGGAGAAGGAGGAUGACACCAUCAUUGUUGGCGCCAGCAUCACUGUCGUAAUAGGGUAGUGGUAGCAAAUAGAUAUCACGGUCCAAUGCAUGCAUGUGUAAUGCAUUGCUUGGGAUCCAACCCAAUCUAGUAUAGCUAGCAUAGGUCGGCUUAAAGUAUUGUCAGCACUAAAGUUAAUUAUUUGGCGGUGUAGGCGGUGUUGGCCUUCCAGUUGGCAGGGAUGACAUCGUCGUAGACGGACUUGGUGCCUCCCUCGGUAGUGAGGCGGACGGUGAGGGGUCCCUUAAGCGGUUUGUCGCUGUCCUUCCUCCAGAUGGCGCCCCAGGAGUGCUUCAGAGGCUCGUACGUGUCGGAGCCCUUCUCCUUGACGUCCACUGCCACAAUGUCACCGUCGCCGUCGACGUACUUGACCAGCAGUGCCAGGUAGUUGGGGCCGCACCCCUUUUCAAGGUGGAAGGUGACCUUGGAGUCGUACUUGCACUUAACCCUUCGGAACUGCAUGUCGAUGAUGCCCGCCUUGCGCAGCUUCUCCUCCUCGCCCUUCUUGGCCAUGGCGCCGAACGCCGUGCCUGCUAAAUCGAAGUGGUACGCCGCGAUAGGCUCAUAGUUCAUGUCCGUGAUGUGCACCACCACGGGCUUGCCGGAGCACUCCACAGGCUUAUCGCACUUGAUCUCGAAGCAGGACCCACAACCCAGACCAUCCUUGAAGAUGGGGAUGUUGCCGCAUGCGCCCAUGCUAUUGAAGGGGGGCUUGUUCACGUCCUUGUACCCGCAGCCACCACCGUUGUCGUCGGGACCGGCACCCGUCGGCUUGCCAUACCAUGUCGCUUUAGCGUCCAGCCAGUCCUUGCCAUAGGUGGCCGUGAUGUUCUUGCCUGGGGGGACUUUGGGAGGACCGCACCAUGCGCCGCUCACCAAGAACACCAACACCACAGCCAUCGCAACCUGUGCCCGCAUCGACGACCACAUGGUUCUCACAUUCACAUCCAUGUUUUGUCUUGGGUUAGUGAAUGGUACUAUGCUACGAUGAAUGAGCGGGUAGGCCUGAAUUUAUGGUUGUGUGUGCCAACGGUUGGACGAUCGAGCUUGCAACCGUGAAGCGCGCGCAUGCAUGCACCAACGAGGAGGUAGAGUUUGCAUGGUCGAGCGAGCUUUUCUCUUGGCCACCAGUUUACUAAUUGGUUCCAUAAGUCGAAGGUGACCAUGCAUGGUAGCUCUGCAUGCAAAGCUGCUCGUAUCGUCGCGAUACUUAUGCCAUGGUGCUACUUUGGCUAAUGGUGAAGCGAGGACUCUCCUUCUUCUCACUUUGAAAGGGAAAUAACCUCAACAUUUCCUAUAAUCGAUUUUGGUGUUUGACGUCUAUCACAAAACCAUAUGGACUAAUUAGUUUGCCUAGUGGACAUUUUUCCCACGUGCAUAAAGUUCACAUAAACAUACAAAGAAAAGGACUUGAGUGAAUUCUAUAAAGUUUGGAGCACACAAGUUCUUGUGUUGCCAGUAGCGCACCGGACACUAUCCGGUACCCUGGCUGAGCACCUCGCGAACUGGUCACUCUCGGGUUUUCUCAGCGUUAGUCCGCUAAAAUUCAUCGGACUGUCCGGUGCACCACCGGACUGUCCGGUGCGACAACAGAGAAACGAUCAACUUCGCGCAACGGUCAACUUCGCUGACUACAGGGCAGUCUGCAGCGCAGAAGUCAGAAGUCAGUCUGCAAAGUCAGAACACACCAGACUGUCCGGUGUGCCAUCGGACUGUCCGGUGCCACAAGAAGACAGAAGACUUCAACGGUCAAUGGCUCCAAACCCCAACGGUCAGCUGAUGUGGCACUCACCAGACAGUGAACAGUGCAGUGUCCGUUGCACCACCGGACUGUCCGGUGUGCCCAUCGACAACAACAGUUGGAAUAGUGGCUGGGGCUAUAAAUACCCCGACCACCACCAUUCAAGCCAUCCAAGCAUUGCAACUUCCUCAUUCAAUACUAGAGCAAAAGAAUGCACUCCAAAGACACAAUCAAAGCAUCAAAUCCUCUUCAAGCUUCAAAAUCAAGUCAAGUGAUCAAAAGUGCUUAGUGACUUGAGAGAGGGUGAUUUGUGUUUGUUUUGUUGCUCUUGUUCCUUGGUUGCAUUCUUCUUCUCAUUCUAAACUUCUCAAGUGUUUUGUAAAGCAAGCAGGAGACACCUAAUUGUGUGGUGAUCCUUGCGGGGUCUUAGUGACCCGCGUGAUAAAGAAGAUGCACAUAACCGGUCUAAGUGAAAGUGCAUUCAUCCCUUUUGUGAGUUUUGGUGAUUUGGAUAACAACACAUUUAAAGGUCUAACGAGUUUGCUAAGUGUUGAACAGGAAAUUCAGUAUGAUGAACAUACUUGAAUAGUGUAUAAUGAUCAGUGAACAAAGGUUCAACACAAGGUUAUAUAACCAAUGAGACAAUGCAAAUGGAUAUAAUAUGAUCUCUAUAUUGGUUUGAAUAUAUGGACAAGACCUGAGAAAUCACUACAUACAUAUGACCAGAAUAGAGGACAAAGUGAUUUAGAGGAUUGGUCAAGCCAAAGAGAAUAAGAUAUGAGGAAUCGUGAAUUGGCUUGACCAUAUUACUGUCAGUCCAUAUAUGCUUCUAUGAGAAUCAAACUAGAGCUUGAUUGAUCUUGACAAUUAUAUCUAGAAGACAUUCAAGCAAGGUUCACAAUAUGGAAGAAAUGAUUCUCUCAAUGGAUGCUCAAUUUGAUGUGACUCAAGAAUGGCUUGAUAGGGUGAAGAUAGCAAGGAAAGGGCUUCGAGGAACUAAGCGAAGGUGAAGGUCAAGCGACGGCUUGUAGACCGAGGUACCAUGGCUAAGGUGAAGAAGAGAGUACUUGCACUAAGUCGAUGAACUAAUCAACUAUGAAGAGUUAUAACAUGUUGAUGCAUCAGUAAGGUGACUUGAAGCCAUGAUUUGAACUCAUAUAAGGUGAUAUGGUACAAGUCACUGGGUUUGAUUUGAGUUUGCUUCAAAAGGUGAGACAAAGAUGUUUGUGAUCCUUAUGAAGCAAUGCCAUGGAGAAAUCACACAUGAGACACCAAUGACUCAAGGAGUUUACUUCAUUAUAUUUUAUUUAACUUGAGUAUAGGAAUCGUCGUACUAUAAAGGGGGAUCCAAAAAGAAGGUUGGUGUUUGCCAAAGCUCAAACCUCUCUAUUCAAAAGCUAUUUUUGAAAAGCAAAAAUCUCUUUAACGUUCUAUGGUUGACCGUGGUUAGGGUUGAGAAACCUAGAGUGUUCUUGCUGAAAAGGAGCUGAACUUCUUCAAAUGCAGCUGAGCUUUCCAGCUGAACUUGACUUCAGCUGAGUUGAGCUUCUUCAGCUGCAGCUGAGCUUUUCAGCUGAGCUGAACUUCAGCUGAGUUGAGCUUUCUCAACUUCAGCUGAACUCAACUUCAGCUGUGAACCUCUUUGACCAUACACCAGCUGAACUUGCCUCCGGGCAGUUGAGCUGGGGUUUUCUCUCCUAAACUCACUGGUCAAGACCAGUUGAACUGGUCUUGAGGGGCAGUUCAGCUGGUCUCUGACCCCUCUGACCUCUGACCAACAGUCUGCAAGUCAGACUGGCAAACAGGUCGCCAGAGGUGUCAGGGGCGGUUCAACCGCCCUGGGGGGCGGUUCAACCGGUCUGGUCAACCCUGACCAGUCUGCAGGUCAGUCUGCGCGUUAGUCUGCCAGUCAGACUGGCAGACAGGCUGCCAGGCCUGCCAGGGGAGGUUCAACCGCCCUAGGGGGAGGUUCAACCGGUCUCAGGCAGAAAAAUCUGCCCAACGGCUAGUUUUGAGCUCCACCUAUAUAUACUACCUCCUACCUCUCUCCCCAAAGCAGUGAGCACGAUUUGAACUCCAUUUCUAACCCAAGAAACACCUCCCUCUCUCUCACACAUCUCUUGCCUCUCCCAUUUCAAAUCUUUGGAGAGAAAUCUUUGAGUGAGCUUGAGAGCUGCGGUUUUGUGCUUCAUCUCUAAAUCUCUCUUGCUCUUCUUCUUCAUUCGAGCUUUGGUACUACAUCGAGUUCUUUGUGGAUUCAUUACUCUUGGAGCUUCUAGCUCCUAGACGACUAGGUGUCUCUUGUGAGUCUCCAAAUCUUGUGGAAGACCACAAGAAAGUUUGUAUUACCCGCUCAUUUGAGCAAAGAUUAUUGUGUGGGCUUGACCUUUGUGGUCGGCAAAGGGAGGAUUAGGGUUGAAAGAGACCCGGCUCUUUGUGGGCGCCUCAACGAGGAAGUAGGGCACCUUUUGUGGUGUGACCGAACCUCGGGAUAAAUCUUGUGUAUCUUGUGUUCUUGCUCAUUGUGUUUGUUCAUGUUCUUCGUUCUCUCACCAUUGCGUGGAAGAUUUGUUUAUAUCUUUUGGGUGUGUGGAUUUUGAGAAGUGCCCUUCUCAGAUCUACUACUUUGAACCCUGUGGAUCAUUUAGAACAUCUCAUUUCCAAAGUUAACUGGGUGAAUUUCGAGAUCAAUUCAGUUUUACCCAGUUUGCUUCUAGUUUUCGUUGAAAAAGUUUUAACUUGCCUAUUCACCCCCCCUCUAGGCAACUUUCAAUUGGUAUCGGAGCAUAAUCCUCGUUCUAACGCUUAACUGCGUGAGGAAAGAUCAUGUCGGGGGGACUAAGAAACGAAAGUGCUUCUAAGCUUGAAAAAGUUGAGGUUGCCUCGACUUCAUCUUUUGGUGCAGAUGUUGAUCCUAGGGCAAUAGACCUUGCCAUGAGAAUCGCCGAAAGGAUGUUCCUCAAAAUGAAGGAAGAUGAGGCGAAGAACAUUAUUGAAGAAGAAGAAAAUGAUCGAUGGAGACCAAACGACGAAUCCACCUCUUCACAAGGUUCGUCUUUCAAAUCCACUUCUCAUAUGUGCUUUAUUGCUAAUGGGAGUGACAGUGAAAGCGAAAGUGAGGAUGAGGAGGAGCAAGAAAGUGAUAGUGAAGAUGAGGAUGAUCUUCAACAAUUCUUCGCUCAGCUAAGCAAGAAACAUCGGAUGAGCUUGCUUAAACUCAUGAAAAGAGCGGAAGAACAAAAAGAAAUGCUUCAUAAGCAAGAAGACUUCCUCAUCAGAAAAAUUGAAGACUUAGAGAAGUUGACCAAAGAGCAUGAGAAGCUAAAGUGCUCUCAUGAUGAUUUGGUCCAAAGGUAUGAAGACAUUUCAAUUGAGCAAAUUAAAGUUGUUAAUCAUUCAUCAUAUAUUGCUCAAUUAGAAAGUAAAAAUGCUAUGCUCAAGAACACAAUAGAAAAGCUAAAUAUUGAAAAUCUAGCUUUGCAAGAAAAACAUGAUAUGCUUGUGUGCUCUCAUAAUAAAUUGAUGGAUUCACAUAUCAUGUUAGAAAUGGCUCAUGAGGUUGUGUUAACUAAUUUGAAAUCAUACCAACCUCACACAUGCACAUGUACUCAAGUAGAAACUAUAUUAUCAUGUGCUAACAAAUGUUGCUCUCAAGAAAGCCAAUCUUCCAUUGAGCUAGAAAUUUCAAGAAUUAGUGAUAUUUCUAUCACACAAGAAAAUAAAGAGCUCAAGGAAGAAAAUGAGAGGCUAAAAAGGAGCUUGACUCAAUUGAAGGGAAAAUGUCAUGCUCAACCUUCUCAAGAUAACUGUGAUAAUAUGGUGAAAAAGCAUGAGAAGGGGACAACUGUGGCAUGCACAAAACCCCUUCAAAAGAAUACCAAGCUUUCCAAGAAGGGCAUGAGCAAAAUCCAUGGUGAGAAAAUUAAUGCUCAUAUGAUUUGCUCUAACAAUGUACCUAUGUGCUUCAACAAAGAAAGAUCAAAGAGAAGCGAUAGGAGGUGCUAUGGAUGCAAGGAGAAGGGCCAUGAAAUUGAUUCAUGCCCCCACAUGAAGAAUCAAGACCUUGCACGAUCAAGAAAGAUGACCAUCAAAAAGGAUGAAAGCAAAAGGCAAAUGCAUUGCAAGGACAAGCAUCGCAUUUGCUACAAUUGCCGUGAAAAAGGUCAUCUAUUCAAGGUUUGUCCAAAGGGUAAAACUCCUAAGCCUAACUUGUCAAUACAUUCAAAUAUGCUUAGGAGACCCAAAUUUGACUCUUGUGCUAGAAAGGUGAUGAGUUCACCACAUUCUAGGACCAAGGCUAUUUGGGUGCCUAAGUCCUUAUUGGCUAACCUUGAUGGACCUAUCAUGAGAUGGGUACCAAAAUGUACUUAAUAAGUUUUGCAGGUACCCAGAGAUGAUAUGAAGCUUUGGGGUGCUUGAGCGGUUCAACUCAAUUCUUAUCUCAAGCUAUCAAUCUUACAUUGUCUAUCCUUUAAGAUUGACCCAAAGAUGAAUUGAGUUGUUAUAUCACUAACUUCAUAUUCAUCUCUAGCAAGAACUUGUGUUGUAGGGAAUAAGGAUUAACCUUUGUGGGAAUCAAGCAAAAGGCCUACAACCAAGUGAUAUCCAAAGGAUGGUAACAAUUAAUUCUUAAGUGCACAUUGCUUUUAAUUGGUAUAUUCCUUUGUGUCUUUUGUAGCCACAUAGGAAAAAUGAAGCACUUGAGAAUGAACUUAAAAGAUUUUACCUUGCUUUGGAAAGGAUCUAAUUAUAUGGUAGAUUGCAAGUUCAUAUUUUUAUAUUGUGACAAUCUACAUGCUUUAAAUUGAUUGUAUGUAUCUUGUGGCAUAUUUCAAGUUAAUCAUCAUAUUAUUGCCAUGACCUAGACAUAAAGAAUAUUAUCCCAUGUUCUUAAAUGAAUAGAGUGCUAAGUAAGAAAUUCAAAUUCUUAUAGCACUUACCAAAUGGGGAAUUCUCUAUAUGACUAGAGUUGUGAGACUAAUGUUUCUAUCUAAGUGUUUAUGUAGUCUCACAACAUGAGAAUGUGUUUCCCAAAUGGAGUGUGCCAUUCAACAUUCAAAGAAGAUCCAACCAAUACUAUGUGAUGUAUUCAUUCUUGUUUAAAUUGGUUUUGAGUCUUCUCCAUUAAUCACUCACCAUGCUAUGAAUUAAACUUGCCAUGUAAACUUAAUUAAAUAAUCAUGCUACUUUCAUCUUUUUUACAAUUGAUGUUAUGCAUGAUGCUUGUAAGGGUAAUUUAGUUCAUAUCAUGAGGUUUCCUUGUUUUAGUAACCUUCUUGUCAUUCAUAUACUAGAGGUUGCUAAAUAGGAAACUAUUGCUUGUGUUUCAAAUGCAAUCUCUAUUAAUAUAUUUCAUGGAAAUUCAUAAGUAGAGAUUGUGCACUUUCAAUUGGUAAAAAUCACAAGCAUUGAAGGUUAAUCUUCACCUAAAAGAAAGGUUAGGAAUGCUCAAGGCAAAGGUAUUGCUUCAAUUGGUAGUUGAUCAAUUGUAGUUCCUUUCAAGUGGCAUUCUUUCAAUUGGUAAUAAUCUAUUCUAUGGAAAGAAAUGCCAAUAUAAAGGUUAAAUUCCUUUUGGCUUAAAUUUGUAAAUUGGUGCAUAUUGUUAAUUCACUCCUCCAUGUGCAUUAACUUAAAAGGAAUUUAAUUUAUGCCUUUAUGCCUCAUAAAUGAUGAUUUGUUUGCCAUUCAUAUAUAUAUAUAUAUAUCAUUCAUUAAAUACUUCCUUGUACUACUAAUACCUCUUUUCAAAGUGUUUUAUCGACUAGUUUUAAAAGGAAAAGAGAUAACAAAGAAGGAAGUCUCCACAAAUGAUGAAAAGAAGAAUACUAAGGAGACACCACCACAGAUAGUAAGAUCUGUCAAAUUGGUAUAACAAAUGGUACAUUCUAUAUGGUGGUAAGUAUUCUUAGGCAUAAGUUAAUUCAUUGUAAAUUUGUCAUGCCUUGACCAUGAUAUGUAAUAUACUCCUCAUGAGACUCUUAACUGAAUUGAAAGUGCAUGUGGCAAGUCAUUCAAAUACUUGAUGCACAUAUCUAGUGGGAGAACAUUAUAUAUCUUGUGUCAUAGAGAAUAAGUUUCACUUGAGUAAGCUAUACUAAGACAAUCCAAAAUGAUAAAUUUGUAUCUCAUUCAUAUGAAUUGUAAUCUUUGUUUUCUAAAUAGCUACUCUUGAUGCAGUUUAAAAUUCCCUUAUCGUUAAUUCUAAAAGUGCAUAAGAAUCCUUUUUGUUGAUAUUCAUCACAUACAUAUGCACUAACAUGGAUAUAAUUUUUAAACUGUAAAAGGUACAAUUAGUGAUCCAUACUCUCUAAAUUUUGGAAACCCAUAUUUUGAUAUCUUAGAAAUCUACUUCAAUCGAUAUCAUAUGCUUCACAUUGAAUUGGAUCACUAAGUUGUAAAUUCAAUACAUAACUUGUCUUUAUGAUAUGAAUGCUUGUGCAACUAACCUUGAUAAGCUAGGUGCACCCAAAGUCAAGGUAGGUUCAUCAUCAAGAAGGCAACACAAUGAUGUAUUAAUAAAAGGAGAAAAGGCUCCUAUUCUUAACUCUAGUUUUUAUCUAUGUAAUUAAAUAUUGACUUGAAACCAUGUAAGAUGGUUGUCAAGUAUAUGUGGGUGCCUACACAAAGAGAAAGGCCACAAUAAGGAUUGUGUGGGUUCUCAAGGCUCAUCUCAAAGGACCCAAUUCAUAUUGGGUACCAAGAUAUGAAGCUUAAACUUGUUUUGCAGGAUCACUCCUUCAAUGAAUCAAGUUGGGUGCUUGAUAAUAAAUGAAUGAAUCAUAUUUGGAGAUAGUAGCAAGGGUGGUAACAACUGAAUCUCAAGUGCAUAUUAUUUUCAAAUUAUCUUUUUUGUGACUUGUGUAGCCACUAAGAAAAAAGAAGCACUUGAGGAUAUACAUCAGUUGUUGAUUAUGAAAUAAAGGUCUAAUUGGAAGUUGAAUGAAUAUUAUCAUAUGGUGAACAAUCCAAAAAUAUGUGACGUAUUCUCUAUCUAGUUAAUUUGGAUUUGAUUCUUCUUUAUUAGACACUCACCAUAAUAUGGAUUAAGUCAGCCUUUUAGACUUCAUUGAAUAACCAUGCAUAUUAUCCAUGUCAUUCAAAAUAUAUUGUGCAUGUGGUUCAAGGCAAAUUUAGUCCAUAUUAUGAGGUUUCUCUAUUUUAGCAACUCGCUUGCCUUCCUCAUAUAAAGGGUUGCUAAAUAAGAAAUUAGUGCUUGUGCUACUAAUGCCAUCUCUUGUGUUGAGUUUAUCCAUAGAAAAUCUAUGUUAAGACAUGGUGCUUGUUUUAAAUUGGAUAAAUCACAAGCUUAAAGGAUACUAUUCAACUAAUGUAAGAAGAAGUUGAUAAGAGGCCAAGGUAUGAAAACUUCCUCACCUUCAGUUGUUUUAGUAUUCUAUCCUCAGUGGGAUGUACCAUAGUAUAGGUUAAAUUCCUUGCAAUAUAAAAUGUUCAAUAGUGCAUAUAACUUUGACAUCAACUAUAUGUGUGCACUAACUUAAAGGAAUUUAGUCUAUCCUUUUUGGGUUUCAAGAAUGAUGAUUCAUUUUCCAUCCACAUAUAAGGAUUAUCAUUUACCCUCCCUUGUGUUUCUAAUGCUCUCUUUUCUAAGUGUUUCAACAAGGCCUUCCCAAGUUCUUUGAAGAUGAAUUCAAAAUCUACAAAUAUAAGAGUCUUGGUUCUUUCAAUCAUUGAGUUUCAAUAGGUCUCAUAUCAAGUAUGAUCGAAUCAAGAAAAGAUGAAAGAAGUUCAAGAUCACUUGGUUGGAUGAAAUCGUAAAGAGAAAAGAGAUCACAGUGAUUCAAGAAGGGAGUUAUUAUUUUUUUGUUUUUUUGUCAACCAAAUAAUGAAGAUGUAGUGACAUAUUUAUAUGAUAUCCUUCAUUAUGAGGUUUGAGAUUUAUAUCAGCAUGCUUUACCCUUCAGGAUUUCAAUUGAUAUACUUUCAGUUCUUAAACUUUCAAUUGGUUCAUUUUCAUCAUCUAUGAAGGCAUGUUAUGUUCAACCAAGAUAUAGUGCAAACAUCUUCUUCAACCUCGUAUUGUUGAUGUGCAUAAAUAUACUUUGUGUACUCUUGCAAGCACAAAUUGAGGGAGAGUUUAGCCUAUAUCUUGUGAGACUAAUGAUUUCUUUCAAGUUCAUGUUGUGUAGUCUCACACCCUGGAGAACAUCAAACGAGGAUGAAUGGUUCCAUAGAAAUGAAAAUGAGUUUCUCUUGAUCGUUUAAAGAGGAUAAGUUUCUCUUUGAAAUGUCAAGCCUAUCAAAAGCUAAGAUAGAAAUUCAUGAUUAUAAUGAAGACCAUGUGGCGUUGAACAAAGGUGUGUCACUCCAUGAACUAUUGUAUUACAUUUGUGUAUCUAGGCUCUCACAUGCCAGUGUGCAUGUAUAUGUAAUAUCUUAAGUCACACCAUAAGGUUGCACUUGUGGUGACGAUUAAAGAAUCUCUAGAUAUUUGAUUAAUACCUCUUGUGGUGAUAUCAUAAGUUAGUCUUAAGUCGUCUUAGUGAGGUAUGAGUCAAACAUUCUAACUUCUCAAGAAUCUUGGCUUAAAAUAUUGCAUAUCAUGUCUAUUAGUAUACCUUUUGAUUAUGAGUAAUUCCUUCAAUUGGUGCAAUUUCAUAUUUUCAUACUUUAUUUAUACCAAGGUUCAAAUUGUAGAACUUAAUCCCCUGGCCUCAUAAGUCCAAGUGCAUAAGCUAAACAAGUAUUCAUCACUUGUAUGCACACAUUUAGGGGGAGAAUGGUUUAUAAUUUGAAUCUUUGAGACUAACUUCAUUUUCAAGUCUAUUAUGUGUGUAGUCUCAAAUUAGAAAGGAACCUUCGGGCAAAGACAAUCGCUUCCACUGCAAAUUUUUGAUGGGUAUCAAAGAUUCUUUGCUCCAAUAAAUGUAACUUCUAUACAUUUCAUAAGAGAAUGAGUUUCUCUUGUAUAUGCUACUCCAACGUCAUCUAAAAUUGGUAAAUAUGUAUCACAUCUUUUUGGAUUACAAAUAUCUGAAGUAGCAUAGCUUAUAGAUUCUCCUGUCUAGAACUUAAUUGAUUAAAUAGUGCACAUGUUCCUUAUGUUGCAUGAUUAUGUUCAGUUGAUACUCCUUUUAUGCUAAUGGUACUUUAAAUUUCAAAUAAGUACUCUCAACAUAUAUCAAUUGAAUUCAUAUAUAUAUAUAUGUGCACUAAAACUUGAGGAGAACUUAGUGUAAUAUGCUAUUAGUGAUCUAUUUAUCUAUCAAAUUGUAUCAAUUGGUGUUUUUCAAUUGAUAUUUUUCAUACAUGAUCACUAGUUGCAUAAUCCAUACUUGUGCAAUUUUUAUGUUGCCUCUUGUUGUGAUAAGAAAAUGCUAGGUGACAUCUAGACUCCAGGUAUCAAGAUUUAUCUUUCAGUUAGUAUGACAAUCUUCAUUUGAUAUCUUGGACCUAUGCCACAAUUAUGCCAACAAGAGCUUGCAAAUGAAUUCUAAGUCCAACACAAGUUUGGAACACCCCCUUAAAAAGGUAAAACGCAAAGGUACAUCACUUAUGACACUUAUCCAUUACCUUUGUGCCAUAUAAGGACCCCUUUCAUGAUAGUGUGUUCAUAUCUCUCUUAAUCAUAAUUUCUAUCCUUUAUAUUCUUUUUAUCCUUUUUUGGGAUUUAUGACAAAGGGGGAGAAAUUGUGCAUUAAAGCUUACCUUUAGUCUUAUGUAACUAAGUGUUAGAAGACUUUUAAAAAGGGGAGAAAUAAUUAACAAAAAGGGAAGUCAUAAGAAAAACAUAAGAUGAAGAAAGUUGAUAAGUGCAUUCCAUGUCAUGAGCAUCACGUUUAUUUUAUGACACACUGCACCCUAUGAAUAGUAUGAUAUAAGUUGUCUAUACUUUGACCUAAAUAUGUGCUUUUGGCAUUUGAGUACAAAAGUGUUAUUUUUCUGAAAUGCACAUAUUUAGGGGGAGGAAACUAUAUCAUAGGAUUUAAAAUCUUAUUUAUCAAAUCUUAUGUAAGCUUUAAAUGUGUUGUCAUCAAUCACCAAAAAGGGGGAGAUUGAAAGUGCAUUCAUCCCUUUUGUGAGUUUUGGUGAUUUGGAUAACAACACAUUUAAAGGUCUAACGAGUUUGCUAAGUGUUGAACAGGAAAUUCAGUAUGAUGAACAUACUUGAAUAGUGUAUAAUGAUCAGUGAACAAAGGUUCAACGCAAGGUUAUAUAACCAAUGAGACAAUGCAAAUGGAUAUAAUAUGAUCUCUAUAUUGGUUUGAAUAUAUGGACAAGACCUGAGAAAUCACUACAUACAUAUGACCAGAAUAGAGGACAAAGUGAUUUAGAGGAUUGGUCAAGCCAAAGAGAAUAAGAUAUGAGGAAUCGUGAAUUGGCUUGACCAUAUUACUGUCAGUCCAUAUAUGCUUCUAUGAGAAUCAAACUAGAGCUUGAUUGAUCUUGACAAUUAUAUCUAGAAGACAUUCAAGCAAGGUUCACAAUAUGGAAGAAAUGAUUCUCUCAAUGGAUGCUCAAUUUGAUGUGACUCAAGAAUGGCUUGAUAGGGUGAAGAUAGCAAGGAAAUGGCUUCGAGGAACUAAGCGAAGGUGAAGGUCAAGCGACGGCUUGUAGACCGAGGUACCAUGGCUAAGGUGAAGAAGAGAGUACUUGCACUAAGUCGAUGAACUAAUCAACUAUGAAGAGUUAUAACAUGUUGAUGCAUCAGUAAGGUGACUUGAAGCCAUGAUUUGAACUCAUAUAAGGUGAUAUGGUACAAGUCACUGGGUUUGAUUUGAGUUUGCUUCAAAAGGUGAGACAAAGAUGUUUGUGAUCCUUAUGAAACAAUGCCAUGGAGAAAUCACACAUGAGACACCAAUGACUCGAGGAGUUUACUUCAUUAUAUUUUAUUUAACUUGAGUAUAGGAAUCGUCGUACUAUAAAGGGGGAUCCAAAAAGAAGGUUGGUGUUUGCCAAAGCUCAAACCUCUCUAUUCAAAAGCUAUUUUUGAAAAGCAAAAAUCUCUUUAACGUUCUAUGGUUGACCGUGGUUAGGGUUGAGAAACCUAGAGUGUUCUUGCUGAAAAGCAGCUGAACUUCUUCAACUGCAGCUGAGCUUUCCAGCUGAACUUGACUUCAGCUGAGUUGAGCUUCUUCAGCUGCAGCUGAGCUUUUCAGCUGAGCUGAACUUCAGCUGAGUUGAGCUUUCUCAACUUCAGCUGAACUCAACUUCAGCUGUGAACCUCUUUGACCAUACACCAGCUGAACUUGCCUCCGGGCAGUUGAGCUGGGGUUUUCUCUCCUAAACUCACUGGUCAAGACCAGUUGAACUGGUCUUGAGGGGCAGUUCAGCUGGUCUCUAACCCCUCUGACCUCUGACCAAUAGUCUGCAAGUCAGACUGGCAAACAGGUCGCCAGAGGUGUCAGGGGCGGUUCAACCGCCCUGGGGGGCGGUUCAACCGGUCUGGUCAACCCUGACCAGUCUGCAGGUCAGUCUGCGCGUUAGUCUGCCAGUCAGACUGGCAGACAGGCUGCCAGGCCUGCCAGGGGAGGUUCAACCGCCCUAGGGGGAGGUUCAACCGGUCUCAGGCAGAAAAAUCUGCCCAACGGCUAGUUUUGAGCUCCACCUAUAUAUACUACCUCCUACCUCUCUCCCCAAAGCAGUGAGCACGAUUUGAACUCCAUUUCUAACCCAAGAAACACCUCCCUCUCUCUCUCUCACACAUCUCUUGCCUCUCCCAUUUCAAAUCUUUGGAGAGAAAUCUUUGAGUGAGCUUGAGAGCUGCGGUUUUGUGCUUCAUCUCUAAAUCUCUCUUGCUCUUCUUCUUCAUUCGAGCUUUGGUACUACAUCGAGUUCUUUGUGGAUUCAUUACUCUUGGAGCUUCUAGCUCCUAGACGACUAGGUGUCUCUUGUGAGUCUCCAAAUCUUGUGGAAGACCACAAGAAACUUUGUAUUACCCGCUCGUUUGAGCAAAGAUUAUUGUGUGGGCUUGACCUUUAUGGUCGGCAAAGGGAGGAUUAGGGUUGAAAGAGACCCGGCUCUUUGUGGGCGCCUCAACGAGGAAGUAGGGCACCUUUUGUGGUGUGACCGAACCUCGGGAUAAAUCUUGUGUAUCUUGUGUUCUUGCUCAUUGCGUUUGUUCAUGUUCUUCGUUCUCUCACCAUUGCGUGGAAGAUUUGUUUAUAUCUUUUUGGUGUGUGGAUUUUGAGAAGUGCCCUUCUCAGAUCUACUACUUUGAACCCUGUGGAUCAUUUAGAACAUCUCAUUUCCAAAGUUAACUGGGUGAAUUUCGAGAUCAAUUCAGUUUUACCCAGUUUGCUUCUAGUUUUCGUUGAAAAAGUUUUAACUUGCCUAUUCACCCCCCCUCUAGGCAACUUUCAAUUGGUAUCGGAGCAUAAUCCUCGUUCUAACGCUUAACUGCGUGAGGAAAGAUCAUGUCGGGGGGACUAAGAAACGAAAGUGCUUCUAAGCUUGAAAAAGUUGAGGUUGCCUCGACUUCAUCUUUUGGUGCAGAUGUUGAUCCUAGGGCAAUAGACCUUGCCAUGAGAAUCGCCGAAAGGAUGUUCCUCAAAAUGAAGGAAGAUGAGGCGAAGAACAUUAUUGAAGAAGAAGAAAAUGAUCGAUGGAGACCAAACGACGAAUCCACCUCUUCACAAGGUUCGUCUUUCAAAUCCACUUCUCAUAUGUGCUUUAUUGCUAAUGGGAGUGACAGUGAAAGCGAAAGUGAGGAUGAGGAGGAGCAACUUUCACUAAGUGACCGAUUGAGAGAGGGAAAGGGUGGGAAUAGACCCAGCCUUUGUGGCCUCCUCAAUGGGGAGUAGGUUCCUUGGAACCGAACCUCGGGAAACAAAUCACCGUAUUCACUUGUGUUGAUCUUUAUCACUCGAUUUGUUUCUUCCCUCUCCUCUCUCUCUCUAAAAGUUCACUUGCUCACAUUGAUCUGAGUUUAAUUUGCUCCCAAACUUAUCUGUAUUGAUUGAGCAACUCAUAGCAAGGAGAACUAUCUUUCGCUCUCCGAAUUCAAUAUUAUUUAUCUCUAACCCUAACCCUGUGCGAAGUGCGUGUUCAAAGUAUAUAAUUUUCAGGUUUCGCCUAUUCACCCCCUCUAGGCGACUUUCAUGCUUCCUAUGGAAGAAUGUCAUUGUUGCCACAUAUUUUUAAGUCAUUAUAUUGGAGCAAAGUGGCGUAACCAUGUCAACCUCUAUUAUCCGUGGAAACGAUCCUUCAAGGAUUGUCGCAAGUUAAUUGGUAUAUCAAAUGUGCGAAUGUAGGAUUUAAACAUAGUGUAAUCUUCAAGACUCCACAUCUAUAUGAAUAGCUAGAAAGAUGACUUGUCUAGGCAAUUAUAGGGAAUUGAACCAUAAACAUUCGGGGUACUCCAAUUAUACAAAAAAUGUAAUUAUGAGAUUCGUGUUGGACAAACAACGUCAAAUUUAACCAAAUUUAUAUUCAGUAUUGUUAAUAUUUAUAUCAAAUAUAUUAUACUAGAACUUAUAAUACAUAGUGAAAUGAACUACGAGCUUUCCAAAGAACCCCAACGUACUUCUUUGCUAAAGAAGACUAUUUUGUACGUGCAUGCAUAGGCAACUAAUUCUUCUAACUAGUUGUUAUAACAUUUUAUUUUAUAUAUUAGUCAGUUGUCAGUAUGUUACUAUGGUUUUCAUAUUCACAAUAUUUAUAAUAUACAUUCUUUCUAGAACAUGAAUAAAAAUGUGUUCAGUGGUUAGACGCUAAGCAUAGGAGGAAUGGUUCUAACCCUAGGUUCUGCAUUUUUUGGAUUUUCUCAUGGGAGAACUUAAUGCAUAAAGGGCGACAUCUUAAUUAAUGUUGGAAAUUGUACAAGUAAUGCAUGCAAAUGGUGAAGACAGAAGUUUUAUCUCAUGAGUAGAAAGCUCAUGUUAUGUAGCACGAAUGAACACCUUAGCUUCGACCUUCAAAGAACGGCCAACACACAUUAAGGAUGGCCCUACAUCUAGAAUUAGCAUGUACUAUCAUAUAUUUCAAUUAGUCAUAAAAAUAUGUAUUCUAUUAAAAUGUAGCAAUGCAUGAUAAAGUUAGGAUUACGUAGGAGAUACAUGGACAACACAACAUUCAUGGAUCCUUUUAUAAAAAUGAAGGCCAAUCAAAUAUUUCAUUAGGCACUUAUUAUAUAACUUGUCAAUCCAUUUCUUAACUCUUCUCUUUUAAACAACAGCAAAGUCUCACUCUAGCUAUAUAUGGAGAUGGAGAAGAUGGAGAAGGAGGAUGACGCCAUUAUUAUUGGCGCCAGCAUCACUGUCGUAAUAGGGUAGUGGUAGCAAAUAGAUAUCACGGUCCAAUGCAUGCAUGUGUAAUGCAUUGCUUGGGAUCCAACCCAAUCUAGUAUAGCUAGCAUAGGCCGGCUUAAAGUAUUGUCAGCACUAAAGUUAAUUAUUUGACGAUGUAGGCGGUGUUGGCCUUCCAGUUGGCAGGGAUGACAUCGUCGUAGACGGUCUUGGUGCCUCCCUCGGUAGUGAGGCGGACGGUGAGGGGUCCCUUAAGCGGUUUGUCACUGUCCUUCCUCCAGAUGGCGCCCUAGGAGUGCUUCAGGGGCUCGUACGUGUCGGAGCCCUUCUCCUUGAUGUCCACCGCCACAAUGUCACCGUCGCCGUCGACGUACUUGACCAGCAGCGCCAGGUAGUUGGGGCCACACCCCUUUUCAAGGUGGAAGGUGACCUUGGAGCCGUACUUGCACUUGACCCUUCGGAACUGCAUGUCGAUGAUGCCCGCCUUGCGCAGCUUCUCCUCCUCACCCUUCUUGGCCAUGGCGCCGAACGUCGUGCCUGCCAAAUCGAAGUGGUACGCCGCGAUAGGCUCAUAGUUCAUAUCCGUGAUGUGCACCACCACGGGCUUGCCGGAGCACUCCACAAGCUUAUCGCACUUGAUCUCGAAGCAGGACCCACAACCCAGACCAUCCUUGAAGAUGGGGAUGUUCCCGCACGCGCCCAUGCUAUUGAAGGGGGGCUUGUUCACGUCCUUGUACCCGCAGCCUCCGCCGUUGUCGUCGGGACCGGCACCCGUCGGCUUGCCAUACCAUGUCGCUUUAGCGUCUAGCCAGUCCUUGCCAUAGGUGGCCGUGAUGUUCUUGCCAGGGGGACUUUGGGAGGACCGCACCAUGCACCGCUCACCAAGAACGCCAACGCCACAGCCAUCGCAACCUGUGCCUGCAUCAACGACCACAUGGUGCUCACAUUCACAACCAUGUUUUAUCUUGGAUCAGUGAAUUGUACUAUGCUACGAUGAAUGAGCGGGUAGACCUGAAUUUAUGGUUGUGCGUGCCAACGGUUGGACGAUCGAGCUUGCAACCGUGAAGCGCGCGCAUGCAUGCAACAACGAGGAGGUAGAGCUUGCAUGGUCGAGCGAGCUAUUCUCUUGGUCGCCAGUUUACUAAUUGGUUCCGUAAGUCGAAGGUGACCAUGCAUGGUAGCUCUGCAUGCAAAGAUGCUCGUAUGGUUGCGAUACUUAUGCCAUGGUGCUACUUUGGCUAAUGGUGAAGCGAGGACUCUCCUUCUUCUCGCUUUGAAAGGGAAAUAGCCUCAACAUUUCCUAUAAUUGAUUUUGGUGUUUGACGUCCAUCACAAAACCAUAUGGACUAAUUAGUUUGCCUAGUGGACAUUUUUCCCACGUGCAUAAAGUUCAUAUAAACAUACAAAGAAAAGGACUUGAGUGAAUUCUACAAAGUUUGGAGCAUAUAAGUUCUUGUGCUGCCAGUAGCGCACCGGACACUGUCCGGUACCCUGGCUGAGCACCUCGCGAACUGGUCGCUCUCGGGUUUUCUCAGCGUUAGUCCGCUAAAAUUCAUCGGACUAUCCGGUGCACCACCGUACUGUCCGGUGAGACAACAGAGCAACGGUCAACUUCGCGCAAUGGUCAACUUCGCUGACUACAGGGCAGUCUAUAGCGCAGAAGUCAGAAGUCUGUCUGCAAAGUCAGAAUACACCAGACUGUCCGGUGUGCCAUCGGACAGUCCGGUGCCACAAGAAGACAGAAGACUUCAACGGUCAACAGCUCCAAACCCCAACGGUCGGCUGACGUGGCACUCACCGGACAGUGAACAGUGCAGUGUCCGUUGCACCACCGGACUGUCCGGUGUGCCCAUCGACAGCAACGACUGGAAUAGUGGUUGGGGCUAUAAAUACCCCCGACCACCACCAUUCAAGCCAUCCAAGCAUUGCAACUUCCUCAUUCAAUAUUAGAGCAAAAGAAUACACUCCAAAGACACAAUCAAAGCAUCAAAUCCUCUUCAAGCUUCAAAAUCAAGUCAAGUGAUCAAAAGUGCUUAGUGACUUGAGAGAGGCUGAUUUGUGUUUGUUUUGUUGCUCUUGUUGCUUGGUUGCAUUCUUCUUCUCAUUCUAAACUUCUCAAGUGUUUUGUAAAGCAAGCGAGAGACACCUAAUUGUGUGGUGAUCCUUGCGGGGUCUUAGUGACCCGCGUGAUUAAGAAGAUGCACUUAACCGGUCUAAGUGACCGAUUGAGAGAGGGAAAGGGUUGGAAUAGACCCAGCCUUUGUGGCCUCCUCAAUGGGGAGUAGGUUCCAUGGAACCGAACCUCGGGAAACAAAUCACCGUGUUCACUUGUGUUGAUCUUUAUCACUCGAUUUGUUUCUUCCCUCUCCUCUCUCUCUAAAAGUUCCCUUGCUCACAUUGAUUUGAGUUUGCUCCCAAACUUAUCCGCAUUGAUUGAGCAACUCAUAGCAAGGAGAACUAUCUUCCGCUCUCCGAAUUCAAUAUUAAUUAUCUCUAACCCUAACCCUGUGCGAAGUGCGUGUUCAAAGUAUAUAAUUUUUAGGUUUCGCCUAUUCAUCGCCUCUAGGCGAGUUUCAUGCUUCCUAUGGAAGAAUGUCAUUGUUGCCACAUAUCUUUAAGUCAUUAUAUUGGAGCAAAGUGGUGUAACCAUGUCAACCUCUAUUAUUCGUGGAAACGAUCCUUCAGGGAUUGUCGCAAGUUAAUUGGUAUAUCAAAUGUGCGAAUGUAGGAUUUAAACAUAGUGUAAUCUUCAAGACUCCACAUCUACAUGAAUAGCUAGAAAGAUGACUUGUCUACUCAAUUAUAGGGAAUUGAACCAUAAACAUUCGGGGUACUCCAAUUAUACAAAAAAUGUAAUUUUGAGAUUCGUAUUGGACAAAUGAGGUCAAAUUUAACCAAAUUUAUAUUCAGUAAUGUUAAUAUUUAUAUCAAAUAUAUUAUACUAGAACUUUUAAUACACAGUGAAAUGAACUACGAGCUUUCCAAAGAACCCCAACGUUCUUCUUUGUUAAAAAUACAAUUUUGUACGCGCAUGCAUAGGCAACUAAUUCUUCUAACUAGUUGUUAUAACAUUUUAUUUUAUAUAUAGUAGUCAGUUGUCAGUAUGUUACUAUGGUUUUCAUAUUCACAAUAUUUAUAAUAUACAUUCUUCUAGAACAUGAAUAAAUAUGUGUUUCGGUGGUUAGACGCUAAGCAUAGGAGGAAUGGUUCUAACCCUAGGUUCUGCAUUUUUUGGAUUUUGUCAUGGGAGAACUUAAUGCAUAAAGGGCGAUAUCUUAAUUAAUGUUGGAAAUUGUACAAGUAAUGCAUGCAAAUGGUGAAGACAGAAGUUUUAUCUCAUGAGUAGAAAGCUCAUGUUAUGUAGCACGAAUGAACACCUUAGCUUCGACCUUCAAAGAAUGACCAACGCACGUUAAUGAUGGCCCUACAUCUAGAAUCAACAUGUACUGUCAUAUAUUUCAAUUAGUCAUAAAAAAUAUGUAUUCUAUUAAAAUGUAGCCAUGCAUGAUAAAGUUAGGAUUACGUAGGAGAUACAUGGACAACACAACAUUCAUGGAUCCUUUUAUAACAAAUGAAGGCCUAUCAAAUAUUUCAUUAGGCACUUAUUAUAUAACUUGUCAAUCCAUUUCUUAACUCUUCUCUUUUAAACAACAGCGAAGUCUCACUCUAGCUAUAUAUGGAGAUGGAGAAGAUGGAGAAGGAGGAUGACGCCAUUAUUGUUGGCGCCAGCAUCACUGUCGUAAUAGGGUAGUGGUAGCAAAUAGAUAUCACGGUCCAAUGCAUGCAUGUGUAAUGCAUUGCUUGGGAUCCAACCCAAUCUAGUAUAGCUAGCAUAGUCCGGCUUAAAGUAUUGUUAGCACUAAAGUUAAUUAUUUGGCGGUGUAGGCGGUGUUGGCCUUCCAGUUGGCAGGGAUGACAUCGUCGUAGACGGUCUUGGUGCCUCCCUCGGUAGUGAGGCGGACGGUGAGGGGUCCCUUAAGCGGUUUGUCGCUGUCCUUCCUCCAGAUGGCACCCCAAGAGUGCUUCAGGGGCUCGUACGUGUCGGAGCCCUUCUCCUUGAUGUCCACCGCCACAAUGUCACCGUCGCCGUCGACGUACUUGACCAGCAGCGCCAGGUAGUUGGGGCCGCACCCCUUUUCAAGAUGGAAGGUGACCUUGGAGCCGUACUUGCACUUGACCCUUCGGAACUGCAUGUCGAUGAUGCCCGCCUUGCGCAGCUUCUCCUCCUCACCCUUCUUGGCCAUGGCGC